CUGAGCCCCGAGGAAUCCCUAGGAUAAAACACAGAUCAAGACUGUGGAUCAGCAGCAGCCUCACCCCAGUAGCAACAGGCCCAGCCACCAUGCCAGACACACCAGUGGAGGAGUCCCUCUUCCAAAUCAUCCACUGCUACCAUGAGUAUGCUGCCCGGGAAGGGGAUACAGAGACACUGUCGCUGGAGGAGCUGAAGGCUCUGCUCAUGGACAACGUGCCCCGCUUCAUGGAGACCUUGGGCCGGAAGGAGCCGCACUACAUCACACAGUUGUUCCGGACGGCAGACAAGAACCAGGACAACCAGAUCUGCUUUGAGGAGUUCCUCUACAUCUUGGGCAAGCUGGUGAAGGACUACCACCUUCAGUACCACCGGCAGCUGUGUGCCCACUACUGUACCCGGCACAGCCUCUAUUAGGGGGAGCACGGGGCCUGCCUGGGGAGCAGGUGUGAC
RNAcentral lists this long non-coding RNA (452 nucleotides) under Moschus moschiferus (Siberian musk deer). Its description in RNAcentral is "lncRNA (ENSMMSG00000001286.1)". Lineage: Eukaryota; Metazoa; Chordata; Mammalia; Artiodactyla; Moschidae. The record is from RNAcentral.